RNAcentral lists this ribosomal RNA (274 nucleotides) under uncultured bacterium. RNAcentral's name for it is "partial 16S ribosomal RNA". It matches the Rfam family "Bacterial small subunit ribosomal RNA", at positions 523 to 796 of the family's 1533-position model. The record is from RNAcentral.
CUACGGAGGGUGCGAGCGUUAAUCGGAAUUACUGGGCGUAAAGCGUGCGUAGGCGGUUUGUUAAGUCAGAAGUGAAAGCCCUGGGCUCAACCUGGGAACGGCUUUUGAGACUGGCAGACUAGAGUUGAGUAGAGGGGAGUGGAAUUUCCGGUGUAGCGGUGAAAUGCGUAGAGAUCGGAAGGAACACCAGUGGCGAAGGCGACUCCCUGGACUCAAACUGACGCUGAGGUACGAAAGCGUGGGUAGCAAACAGGAUUAGAUACCCUAGUAGUCC